UGAGUCUAAUAAAAUUGAACGUUGAUU
RNAcentral lists this non-coding RNA (27 nucleotides) under Cricetulus griseus (Chinese hamster). Lineage: Eukaryota; Metazoa; Chordata; Mammalia; Rodentia; Cricetidae. The record is from RNAcentral.